This is a long non-coding RNA of Thalassophryne amazonica, 291 nucleotides long. RefSeq lists it as uncharacterized. The transcript is spliced from 3 exons. NCBI's taxonomy places the organism in Eukaryota, Metazoa, Chordata, Actinopteri, Batrachoidiformes, Batrachoididae. The record is from RefSeq and is a predicted model, not a curated record.
CUAGAGUUUACAGAGAAUGGUCAGGAAAAGAGAGGUUAUCCAGUGGGCAGCAGUUGUGUGGAGGAAAAUGCCUUGUUGAUGUCAGAGGUCAGAGGUGAACAGGCAGACUGGUUGAAUGGGCGACUACGUGGAUGCCAUCAUGUCAAUACGUACCAACAUCUCUGAAGAAUGUUUCCAACACCUUGUUGAAUCUAUGCCUCAAAGAGUUAAGGCAGUUCUAAAGGUAAAAGGUGGUCCAACCCGAUACUAUCAAGGUGUACCUAGUAAAAUGGCCGGAGUGUAUGUGGGUGG